Molecule: long non-coding RNA, 405 nt
Organism: Mytilus trossulus (common blue mussel)
Lineage: Eukaryota; Metazoa; Mollusca; Bivalvia; Mytilida; Mytilidae
Exons: 2
Source: RefSeq, a predicted model, not a curated record
CCAUAAAAGUCCCAUAAAACCUGAUUGGUUAGAUAUAAGGAUUUCUCAUCAAAAGACUUCUCAGUAAUAGCUUUGUAGUUCCACAGAUUAAGAUGAAAUAUUUCUCCCUUUUGUUUCUAUGGUUAGUUUUUCAACCUUACAGCAGCGGGGAAUUGCAGGUUGAUUUUCUAAAAACUGUUAAAAAGUGGUAUAUGGCACCAACAUCAAUCGUAUGUCGGUUUGCAGGUCGGUGGGCAGUGAUCCCAUACAAGGAUAGAGCUAAGAUUCGAUGUAACAGUUCCAGAUGUCAAUGUUAUAAACCUAUUCACAAGGCGUUCCUUCUAUGAAGAAAGCUGAGGAGGUUUUAAAGGAUGAUAUUUCCAGAUUAAGGAUUUGAUAAUAAGAAAUAAACUGAUUAGAAAAGUG